This 249-nucleotide long non-coding RNA is filed under the name Gossypium raimondii (Peruvian cotton). RNAcentral's name for it is "long non-coding RNA (GRAI_LNC006881)". The record is from RNAcentral. Lineage: Eukaryota; Viridiplantae; Streptophyta; Magnoliopsida; Malvales; Malvaceae.
CCACCUUAAGACUGUUUGGUUUAUCUAUUCUAUAUUAUUACAAAAGCUUAAGACUUAACCAUUACUUUGAUACCCUAAGUCACUGAGAAAAAUAUCACCGUAGAAACAGAAGUUCAAAAGAAUAUGCUGGGUUCUUAAAGUGCUAAGAAUUCCCAUGUGAUCACCCUCAAGUAGAUCAUCAAAGAGGAAAUUGCACUAUAUAAGAGGUGGAUGGAUCAGCAACUCUUAUAUUUGUCUACCGUAUCCAAG